This 102-nucleotide microRNA precursor is filed under the name Populus trichocarpa (black cottonwood). RNAcentral's name for it is "miR7835 stem-loop (ptc-MIR7835)". The record is from miRBase by way of RNAcentral. Lineage: Eukaryota; Viridiplantae; Streptophyta; Magnoliopsida; Malpighiales; Salicaceae.
CCCAAAAUCGCUUUUCAAAGAAUCUCAACCAUUGGAUUUGUGUGACCCCGGUGGGAUCCACUCAUUCAAUGGAUGGGAUUUUUCGGGAAGUGAUUUCGAGGA